Molecule: long non-coding RNA, 203 nt
Filed under: Lathyrus oleraceus (garden pea)
Lineage: Eukaryota; Viridiplantae; Streptophyta; Magnoliopsida; Fabales; Fabaceae
Description: Pisum sativum (pea) long non-coding RNA (PSAT_LNC015720)
Source: RNAcentral
AAUAAUGUUGAUGAUGUUGUUGCAUGAAUUGUACAAAACUUAUUUUUUUUUCUUUUGGCUUAAAUUAUGGCAAUUUGUUUCAUGGCCAUAGGAUGUAUGUUGUAACUUCAUGUAAUAGAUAAUUCAAAUUAAUAACAAAGUAGAACUUGCUUAAAUUUCAAUUUCAAUUUUGUAUGUAUUCAGCUCAAUUCAUGGCAUGUGAA